GCUUGCUCCUUUGACGUUAGCGGCGGACGGGUGAGUAACACGUGGGUAACCUACCUAUAAGACUGGGAUAACUUCGGGAAACCGGAGCUAAUACCGGAUAAUAUUUCGAACCGCAUGGUUCGAUAGUGAAAGAUGGUUUUGCUAUCACUUAUAGAUGGACCCGCGCCGUAUUAGCUAGUUGGUAAGGUAACGGCUUACCAAGGCGACGAUACGUAGCCGACCUGAGAGGGUGAUCGGCCACACUGGAACUGAGACACGGUCCAGACUCCUACGGGAGGCAGCAGUAGGGAAUCUUCCGCAAUGGGCGAAAGCCUGACGGAGCAACGCCGCGUGAGUGAUGAAGGUCUUCGGAUCGUAAAACUCUGUUAUUAGGGAAGAACAUACGUGUAAGUAACUAUGCACGUCUUGACGGUACCUAAUCAGAAAGCCACGGCUAACUACGUGCCAGCAGCCGCGGUAAUACGUAGGUGGCAAGCGUUAUCCGGAAUUAUUGGGCGUAAAGCGCGCGUAGGCGGUUUUUUAAGUCUGAUGUGAAAGCCCACGGCUCA
This 548-nucleotide ribosomal RNA is filed under the name Staphylococcus haemolyticus. Its description in RNAcentral is "bacterial SSU rRNA". It matches the Rfam family "Bacterial small subunit ribosomal RNA", at positions 78 to 611 of the family's 1533-position model. The record is from RNAcentral. Lineage: Bacteria; Bacillati; Bacillota; Bacilli; Caryophanales; Staphylococcaceae.